AUGACUGGCGGAAUGUAGCUUCGAUUUCGGUUGAAGUGUUAUAGCCUCUGGUAGAUGUGGUGAUUGAGACUGAGGAUUGCAACGAAUAUCCUUUGGGCUAUCCGUCUGGCCUCUGAAAGUUGCUUGGGUGCUGAAAGCUUGCUUAUGGUUAUCUAAGUUAACGGUCAAUAGGUUAGAACGUGAUUACAUUCGUUAAGGAUGUUGACGUAA
Molecule: ribosomal RNA, 210 nt
Filed under: uncultured fungus
Lineage: Eukaryota; Fungi
Description: partial large subunit ribosomal RNA
Source: RNAcentral